Molecule: long non-coding RNA, 3656 nt
Organism: Passer domesticus (house sparrow)
Lineage: Eukaryota; Metazoa; Chordata; Aves; Passeriformes; Passeridae
Exons: 3
Source: RefSeq, a predicted model, not a curated record
AUGAAGGACCACCCGUAGUAGACGUGCACAGGGACAUCAUCCAGGCACCUCUCACUCCUCUCCAGGAGGAUGUACUUCUGAAAGUCAGCUGCAAACUCCUUCCACAUCACAAAGAGAAACACGAGCAGGAGAAACAAACCUCCUGGGAAGAGAGAGGAAGCUGAGUUAUGGUCUGGGCAGGGAGUACAGGAGUGAAGGUUCCUGUGGAAGCUGAGGCCACACCACAGUGACCAGUUCCUGCCUCUGACACCUCCUGCUUUGACCACCAGCACUUUCUGAAGGCUCUGUUUCAGCAGGAUAAGGCCAUGGAGAAACCACCCGAGCAGGGAUGAUGUUCCCAGCAAGGACCUGCCUUCCUCUCUCCAAGGUGGGAUGUUUCACCUUUUUCACUUUUAUUUCUCAGAGAUUAAUGAGGAGACACCAAAACUCACUUCUUCCUUUUUUUAUCUACCCUUGCAAGCAGUGUCAUAGCCAAUCCCCUCCAGGAACACAAAGAUGCCAUGAUAAAUCCUGGGGCUGGUGGAAAAAUUCUGGCACUGCCACCCCCAGAGCCAGCAGAGCCUGCAGGCUCUGAAAGUGUUUAUGCACAUUAUGGGGUGGGAAGGGCACACAGCCACGAGAUGUUAAUCUUAGAUGGGCUACUAAAUACCAGAAUAAUAACAAGAAUUAUUCCAGCAGCUUAUGCCACAAAGCUGGAAGCAGAUGAAAAAAAUUAGAGUGGCCCAAAUCUCAUUAACUCUGAAUCUUUAAAAAAAUAUAUAUAUUUCUAUGGUGCAUUUUAAACUCAACAUCUAUUAAAGCUAAAUAGUGACGGUGUGAUGACAGGUCUGAAAGCAGCUCAGAAAUAUCUGAUCUUGCUACUUCACAGGUAGAAGCUGCUAUUUUUAAAUGGUGCUGUAUAACAUAUAGAUAUACACACACACAUAUGAAAGAAAUACAUCACAGCUUAUAUUAUUUUUAUGGUUGAAGUGAACUGCUCGAAAUUAAUUUAGUUGACAAGUUACCACACAGUUCUGUGGAUGUGUUGUGGCUUCUGCAAGAUUUAAUUUCUCCCCUUGCCAUUUUUAAAUCAAAGGUAGUUGUGGUGUAUUUAAUUAUUCUUCCUGGCAGCUUAUAUACUCCAAAAUCCAGCUUUUGAGCUAAGGAAAGGAGUAAAGAUUGACGUUGAUUUAUCUGCUUAGGGAGGUUACUGAAUCUUCAGUCAGAGAAAACACAUCCGUGUUUUACUGCGAUUCUGUUUAUAAUGGUUAUAAAAACAUCUCAGAGACAAAAAUAAGACUCACAUGAAGGUAAGAGGCUUCAAAGUCCUCACUAGGAGGGAGACAGAAGUUGCAGUUCCCCACCCUAAGCUGUCACAUUUCCUGAACUGCCUCCCAUGCCCUAAAAAGAUGCAAUCUUGCCAAUCAAAAAUUGGUGUAGCCAUACAAAUGUUCUUUACAUCACCCCACACUGAAAUUCCAGCCAUUCUCCCUGAUGUGGAGGAGUCCCUGUUUUUCCUGGAGAGGCAGGCAAGGAGUUAAACAGCAGCUGCUGGAACAUUUGCAUGUUCAUUGAGGUUUUGAUACCACUUGAAAUUAAGUGCACAAAUAAAUAUUUUACACUUACUAUGAUAGUUGUAUGCUUAAAAUACCAAUUAUUCUACUAUAAGAAAGCGAUGGUGUGUUCAAAUAGUCGCAUGUCCUUUACAAAAUACAAUGUAUUGAUAAGAAGGCAAUUAAGUCUUUAUUACUGAUGUAAUUUAAAAUUAAAUUAAUUAGAUAGCAACUGAACCUUGAAAAGUGCUCCUUUAAAGAUCAAUUUCUAUUUCAUUAACUUAUAAUACCUACCGUAAGAGACGCAAAUGAAAGCGCAGCCCCGGUGGGACGGAGAACGUGGGUAUGGAAAUGUACUUUGGAAUUUUGCUUUAAAUAACCAGGAAUUCUGUGCUGAUUUCUCCCAGGACAAUUUAUAUGGCCUAAGUCUCGUUUUUUGAAGUAAUCAGAUCAAAACCUUCCAGUUCUUACUGAGGAGGGUGUGGGAAGUCCCACGUGUGGGUGGCACCAUCCCCAACCCCUUCAGGAGACAAGGAAUGGGGAUUGGUCCCUCCUCUGGCCUCAGGAGAAGCUCCAGGUCUUGGCACGGAAGGAUUUAUUAUUAAACAGGUACUGGAGGUGAUGGCAUGGCCAUGGCAUCUAAAUUAAGAAUGUUUUCACACUCUGGGCAAAUGACAAGAAUAUGUAAAGCAAGCAGCCUUCUUCCCUGGAAUAAUUACAGCGGAGUGAUGAAGAAUCCCUGGGAUUUACACAAUGUCCUCGGUGGGAAGAGAAAAUCAGGAGGGCAGGUGCAGCCAAAGGAUGGUGGGAGCUCAGGAAGGGCAGCUCACCAAAAUCUGCUCAGCCAGAAAUGCAUGUUUGGAGCAAUCACAAAUGUACCUGAACCUGCCUAAAAUUUGUCACACUUACAGCCAUCAGCAGCCUCUUCAUCAUGAGAAAAUCAGGAUGUUUCACUCCUACAUUACUAAAGUGUUUGGCAUUUUUGUUUAAAAAUGCUGUUGUAUUUGGGAUUUUUCAUCUGUUGAACAGGUUUCACUUUGCUCCCUCCUUUCUGGGGCUUUUAGUGUGGGACAGAGCAGAAAUUAUCUUUGUUUCCUGACAGCUUUGGAUGUAGAGAGACAGAUUCCUUCCUGCUUUGGGCAGCGAAAUGAAAAACUGAAAAAAUCUAAUUUUCUGUCUGAAAUAGGACACUGGCAUUGGCACCCACACCCAAGACAGAGGGUGUGUAUUGGGUUUGGGUAAGUGAAGACCUCAUCAAACCUCAUCCCAUGCUCCUCUCAGCAUCCCUGUGCUUUCUCCACUGGAAAAUUACCCGAGUGAUUCCUUUCCUUGCCUUCUUGUCCCUCUUUGCCUCUGUUCAUUAGGAUGGUACUGGGAAAAAUUAACUGCGAAACUCCAUCUCCAGACUGAUGAGGUCAAUGGCAUCUUCUAGGGAGGGGCUAAUUGCCAGAAAAUUGCAGUGGGGUAUUAAAUCUGCCUCCUUUGUGCACUGCAGAUCUGGGAGCCUGGAGCUCCAUCCCCCUCUCCCAACGGAGCUGCGUCUUCUGUGCGGGCAAAUUGAAGUGGAGCUUUUCCUUUCUCUCACUUUAUUUCCUUGUGACACCUUUAUAGCUGCUAAUUGUGGGGACAGGAUGUUAAUAACAGCGAAAUGGAGGGGUGACCUUCAGCUGCCCCUCCAUAACUGUCAGCUUCACUGCACGUGGGGAGCCUGAGACUGCCAAAGUGGAGCUGCUCCAUUUGGGAAACAGGAUCUGAGCAAAAAAUCCAGCACUUUAACUCACAGGACUGGGAAAUCUGCCUUUUUUCCCAUGCUGUUGGUUCAUGCUGAAGAACAGGUUGGUCCCACCAUGGGCAGGGAUGUGUCCCAUCAUCCCAGGUGGCUCCAAGCUCCAUCCAGCCUGGCCUGGAACACUUCCAGGGAUGGGGCAUUCACAGCCUCUUUGGGCAACCUGUGCUGCAGUUCUAUGUUUGGUCUCUAAAAUGCCCAAAGGGAAAGAAAACCGAGGGGCACAAGGUAGGAAAAAAGGAAGGACCACAAGCAAAAUUGUCUCAGCAACUCAAAGAGCUUCCAGAAGCUGCAGCACAGAGCUCACCCAGCCCUCUUGGUGACAUUCUAGUGACAAU